This 57-nucleotide transfer RNA is filed under the name Bedotia sp. ZSM 34168. Its description in RNAcentral is "tRNA-Val". Lineage: Eukaryota; Metazoa; Chordata; Actinopteri; Atheriniformes; Bedotiidae. The record is from RNAcentral.
GAAGGUGCACUUGGAUAAACCAGAGCUUAGCUAAACAUAGCUAUAGCAUCUCCCUUA